AGUCCUAUGGCUUACAUGGCAAAUCGCCUGCCUGGUAUGCAGAAGUUCACGAGAUCGAGUCUCGUUGGGACCU
Daphnia pulex (common water flea) is the source of this 73-nucleotide non-coding RNA. Lineage: Eukaryota; Metazoa; Arthropoda; Branchiopoda; Diplostraca; Daphniidae. The record is from Rfam.